GCAUUGGUGGUUCAGUGGUAGAAUUCUCACUUCACACGCAGGAGACCUGGGUUCGAGUCCCAGUCAAUAGCC
This 72-nucleotide transfer RNA is filed under the name Loxodonta africana (African savanna elephant). It matches the Rfam family "tRNA". Rfam says of the family: Transfer RNA (tRNA) molecules are approximately 80 nucleotides in length. Their secondary structure includes four short double-helical elements and three loops (D, anti-codon, and T loops). The record is from Rfam by way of RNAcentral. Lineage: Eukaryota; Metazoa; Chordata; Mammalia; Proboscidea; Elephantidae.